CGAGGGAGUUUUAAGACCUGCUAACUCUUUAUUCUGGCAUUAAUACCCAGCCCCC
Molecule: transfer RNA, 55 nt
Filed under: Limaformosa capensis (Cape file snake)
Lineage: Eukaryota; Metazoa; Chordata; Lepidosauria; Squamata; Lamprophiidae
Description: tRNA-Ser
Source: RNAcentral